GAGAGCCCUCUGCAGAGACGUCAUGCAGGAGAACUAUGAGAACGUGACCUUGCUGGGGGCCAAUGGCCUGCGAGGAGGGGGCUAUGUAUUUCACCAGGGAAGAGUGGGCUCUGCUGGACCCUGCUCAGAGAGCCCUCCACAGAGACGUCGUGCAGGAGAACUAUGAGAACGUGACCUCGCUGGGUGCUGGGCUGGUGAGUGAGACAAUGGAGCAGAAUUCUCAACAGGAAGAUGAUGAGGAAGUGGAACCACAUGGCACACUAUUGCAAAGAUGCAAAGGGAGUGUGUCCAGGAGUUGUGAUCAGGGAAAAGCCUGUGAGAGUCAGCACAUUCCAGAGAGGUGGCAGGGAAACCAGGCAAUGCAGAAGGUUGGUUAUUCUGUUUAUUAUCGGAGAACUCACAGACUUCUCAAGGAAACCACGGCCCAGCAGAGAAUCCCCAGGGGAGAGAGAAAUAACACGUGUGUUGAGUGUGGGGCCUGGUCUACCCUACGAGUUUAUAUCGAAUUUAGCAGCGUUAAAUCGCAUUAACCCUGCACCCGUCCACACAA
Molecule: long non-coding RNA, 550 nt
Organism: Mauremys reevesii (Reeves's turtle)
Lineage: Eukaryota; Metazoa; Chordata; Testudines; Geoemydidae
Exons: 3
Source: RefSeq, a predicted model, not a curated record